Manis javanica (Malayan pangolin) is the source of this 116-nucleotide small nuclear RNA. RefSeq annotates it as U5 spliceosomal RNA. NCBI's taxonomy places the organism in Eukaryota, Metazoa, Chordata, Mammalia, Pholidota, Manidae. The record is from RefSeq and is a predicted model, not a curated record.
AUACUCUGGUUUCUCUUCAGAUUGCAUAAAUCUUUCGCUUUUUACUGAAGAUUUCUGUGGAGAGGAAAAAUUCUGAGUUUUUAGCCAAUUUUUUGAGGCCUUUCCUUAGCACGGCU